Populus euphratica (Euphrates poplar) is the source of this 3869-nucleotide long non-coding RNA. RefSeq lists it as uncharacterized. NCBI's taxonomy places the organism in Eukaryota, Viridiplantae, Streptophyta, Magnoliopsida, Malpighiales, Salicaceae. The record is from RefSeq and is a predicted model, not a curated record. The transcript has 6 exons.
AAUCUACCCUAAUUUAACCCAAGAAGGCAAGCCGACAAACGCACAAAAUCCAAACAUGACAGAACAAACCCAACCCUAGUUUUUUCUUUACUUUCCUUGUAGGGUUUUGCUGUUUUGUUUUUUGGUAAAAAUCUUGUGGUUGGAAAACCACUACAAGUUUUAUGAGUGGUUGGGCGCGCGUCAAUACAAACUGGUAGAUUUUGUAAGAGGAAAGGACACUUGUCUGUGCGUCACCGACACCUGUUCAUCUUGCAUGAUAGAGAGAGAAAGAAAGCAAGCAAGAAAUUAAGGGAUGUAAUCCUAUUAAAAGCCAAGCAAGUUUUAGCUCCUAUCUACUUCCUUCCGGUGAAGUGAGUGUGUGUGGAAGUAGAGGAUAGAGAGAAGAAACAACAAGGGUUAUUUCUUGAAUUCCAUUUUUGUGGUAAUCUUUGUUUAAUUAUUGCUUGUUUUCUUGGAUUUUUGGUGUAGAUCAAGAGAUAGAAACCCUAGUAUGCUUUUUCGAAAUUUAUGGUUUGAGUAAAAAUAAAAUUGUUUUAAAACAAAAUCUUCUUUUAUAGAUUUACACUUACAAAUUACACUAAAAGAGAUGCAAUUUUCUUCGGAAUUAAUCCAUUAAAAACUAAUUUCAUUAGCACUCUUCUCUCCUUUUCUCUUCGGAAUUAAACGUAUACUUGAUGUAUUUUUUUUAAGAUAAUGACAAAUUAAUUAAUUCCAUAAACAAUAUGUCUUCAUCACUUCAAGUUACCUCAAGUGAAAUGAAUUUUAUAAUUUUAAAUCGUGUUCCAAGCAAAUCAAAUGAAUUCCAUCUACUUAAAAAGCUGAAAACAAUUGGAUCCUAUCAGGUGCAUGCAAAUCUCUUAGAUUUGUGUUUUAACACCAAAAAGAGAGGCGAUCAAUGGUAGGUAGAUCUUUUGGCAACUUAAUUUCCUUGAAAGGGCAUCACAUGUUUCUCAGAUCUGACUGAAUUCUUCUACGCAUUUUGUGCUAAAUUUCUUUCUUUCUUUCCAUUUUUUGGUAAGCUAUAUCUUUCGCUCAAGAACUGAUCCAGGAAAAAAAUCUGUUUACCUUGUUUUUGUAUUUUCUUCUUCUGGACAUUAGAAACUGACAGAAGAGAGUGAGCACACAGAGGCAUAUUUGUAUAAAUCUAUACCAUUGCUUUUGCGUGCUCACUUCUCAUUCUGUCGGCUUCCAGAACCGGAUUUGGGCCUGUUUUAUGCUCCAGAAAUUCCUUUCUUUCUCAUCUUUUACGUCUCUUUGCAAACCCAAACAAAAAAGGCUCCUGAAAGAUGAGGAUGGUGUAUAGUAGGAAAAAAAUGGAGAAGCAGAAGCAAGGUAUCCACUUUGUGUUUCGUUUUUUUUUUUUUUUUUGGCGUUUGAAUCUUGAUUAGUUUCUGAUGUAUUAAAUUAUAGUUUAGUAUAAUAGCGUGGCUUUUGAUGAAGUUUAAGCCAGAUUACUGUGCAAUUUAUAGCGGCAAAACACUGUGUAGCGUAGUAUAUAUAUAGCAUGGGACCAUUUCAUUUACGUUUUCUAAUUUUUUCGAGUAUCUCUUUGCAAAGCCAAACACCCUCCUCUUUUUUUUCCUUUUCUCUUUCUCUUGCGCAUGCGAUUAUGUUAUUAUCUGCUCGAGAUUUGAAUCUGAUUUGACCUUGUGUUCACUUGAAUCUUAUCUUAUACUGUUUGUGAAAAUGGGUUUUCCUUCAAAACCCUAGUCUAGCUUCAAAUAGGGUUGCUUCUUGUAUUAAUGGAGAAGGGAUUUUGUGGCGAGUCGUCUUUUGCUUGCUCUUAGUAAAAACUGAUCUGAUCAUUUUCCAUUGGCUCUUGGAAAUGGGUUUUGUUUAAUAUUUUUCUUUUGAUUUGUAAGUGCAUGUGAAGUUCUUAGAACAAAAGAAGAGACAUGAAAUCUUUAAAUUAUUGCAUGUAGUGAUUUCUUUCCAGAAAUAUGAAAUUUCAGCAUGCAUAGUUGUUCCUUGCUGUGCUCCUUUUUUUUUUUUUAGCUUUCUGCAGAUAAGCAUGGGAUGGUCAACUCAUUUAUCACGAAGUAGACAAAAUCUAGUCAAAAACAGGUUUUGGGAAGCACUUCAGGUAGCAAGCAGUGCAAACUCGAGCAAAAACCUCACAUGGUCUGUGGUUCCUUGCUUUCAAGUUUUUAAAUCAUCAACUUGUUUCUUCUAAUCUUGAUUCACAUCAAGAUAUGUCCCAAGAUUCUUGCUGGGAGUAGAUCGGAAAUGAAGGGUCAUCACCAAGAGUAUGAGAAAUGUGAUAGUUCUGUGCGUUGACUCGUGGGCCUUCAAUUGCUUUAGAGAUCUAACGAAUCAAUAGAGAGCCGGGGAACCUAUGACUUUGUGCGAACUGAAUUUGGCAUGUUCAUUCGGUAUCCGAAGGAAUUUUAAGGCCAACACCAUGCUGAAAACGUGGAAAGUUAGGAAUUGGUAAAUACAAGAGAACCUCUUUGAACUUUCUUUUGGAAAGUUCAAAAACUCUCCUCCGAGUCACUAAGUCCUUUUGUCUCUUUGAUUUUCCUGAGUUAACAAAUGGUGAGAGUGACAUGAAAAAAGGAAUCAUAAUGGAGCCCCAUGGCCCACUGGUGAUAGGGGUGCCUGUUUCAUGAUUGAAAAACUUCCCUUGCAUCUGGAGGUACUGUGGAGAUGAUGCUAAAGGUAAUAUAACCUAGAAAUGUACCUGGAAGCUCGAGUCUCUAAUUUUCAUUAAUAACAUUUGAUUCUCCUCUCUGGUUUACCAAAGAAAACUAAAUGUCUAACAACUUGUAAGCUAAAAGCAUGAUCAUAGAUGGAUUUGGUUUGCUUCUAAUUACCAUAAAGCAUGCCAGGCAACACUGUAACUUGUAACCAGUUGAUGGAUUUUUUUUUUGUUUGUUCUAUAGUUUGUGGGUAGGGGAUUGUAAUCAGCCACUAAACUCCUAAGGCUUCAACCUUAAGAUCUUUCUCUCAAAUCUUCAUCUAUCUCAUUCUUACCUGCAUUUUCAAGGUCUUAAUCUCUAGAGCGAUUUUUGUUCUCACAGAUAUCAACAACCAAUUUAUGAAAAUUCAAGAAUUGAAGACAAUCAAUGGAAUGCUGUUACAUAAAUGGCAAUGGCUGUUCAUGAUGUCUAGUCAAUUCUGAUUGUAUCAAAAACUAGCAGUCCGGAUUAAGCUAUAACCAGGCGUACGAGGUAAUGAUUGUUGGGAUCAAAGGUUUCCUGGUUUGCAAUGUGUUCGUAAUCUAUGGAAUUCAAAUUCUAUGUUUUGAUUAGUCCUAAAUUGAAUGAUUGCGGGAUUGUGAUGCCCCAGAUCAGCAUAUAAUUUGCAGGAGAUGUUAAUUCUUAGUUGCUGGCAAUUUGACUUGAAAUAUCUAGGUCUGCUGUUGGUUUUUUCAUUUUGAACAUUUUUCUCUGGGGUGUUGUCAAAAAUCUGAUAGCUGAAAUGAAAGCUCUCUUCGAGGGCAUAUGUUAAGAGAAAUAAAUAUUGUCUCCUCCCUGCUUAUAUCGAAAAGAUUAUCUUAUGCCUACUUUCUGGUCAAGUUUUCCUGUGAAUUACAGAGAAAUUUGUCUAGGGUUUCACAACCUCUACCAACAAGAUAACCACAGACCAAAACUAACAGAUACAAGAACUCAAGGUGUCACCAGUGCCCCGGCAAGCAUCGGCUUCAAAAGCCUUCAAAGGUCUUGCAUGGAACGGAAGGGGAGAUGCAUGCAAAAACUACACGCCAUUUUUACUAGAUCUCGGAGAAAAAAAUAACCAGAAAUGUGACAUACCUUAUGUUUUGUAGUGCCUGAGUUUGUUUUGGUGCACUUGUAUGGCGAUAUGUGGAGGAAAAGUGCUAUGGCGGGAAAAUACAGGGAUGAUUCCCAAAUCCCAACGGGUUUCUUCUU